CUGUCCAAACUUACGGUGGAGAGCGAUUUUUGCGACAUUGAUGACGGCAGUUCCCGGAGUUGUAAAGCUCGGAAGGUGGCUGUGCUAGCUUCACGGUCUGUUGUUGGUCUCUCUUCAUUUUCAGAUGAAAAGAGGAUAAGAGUUUGCUCAGGAUUCGUGAUAUCAUCCGAUGCUUGUACAGAUACCUACAAAAUCUUAACUUCGGCAACACUAAUAAGGUCUCUUAACACGAAUAACAUUUUGAUCCCAGAUGUAAAGAUCAAGGUGUGUUUACCAAAUGGGGAUAUCUCUGAUGGCGUCAUAUCCAUGGUAGAUUUUCACUAUAACAUAGCAGUUGUUAAAGUGAAAUCUGACCAGAAACUUCCAGAGGCAGUUCUGAUUAGUGAAGUUAUCAAAAGAGGAGCCGUGUUAGCGAUUGGACGUUUCUAUGAUCAUGGUAGAGUGAUGUGCGCACAAGGUAAAAUCAGAAAACAAGCAAGUACAUUCGAUUGCUCAGAGCUUCUAGUAUCAAGCUGCCAGACGACCAUGGCGGGUGUUGGUGGUCCCCUUGUAAAUUACAGUGGUGAUGUUGUGGGUAUCAAUUUCUACGGAGAAAACCACACGCCCUUUCUUUCAACGGGAAUUAUUGUAAGAUGCUUGGAACAUUGGAGAAAAUAUGGGUAGAAAAAUAAUUCGACCUUGGUUUGGAAUCAUGUACAAGCCUAUUGAUAUGUUGCCACUUCGUGUUUUGGAGAAAUGUGCAUAUAUUGGCAAGGGUUUGUAUAUUUCAGAUGUAUGAAACUCUUCUUUUUAUCGUUUGUUACUUAUUACCAUACUAGUUCAUGA
Molecule: ribosomal RNA, 825 nt
Filed under: Triticum aestivum (bread wheat)
Lineage: Eukaryota; Viridiplantae; Streptophyta; Magnoliopsida; Poales; Poaceae
Description: partial small subunit ribosomal RNA
Source: RNAcentral